AUUGAACGCUGGCGGCAGGCCUAACACAUGCAAGUCGAGCGGAUGAAGGGAGCUUGCUCCUGGAUUCAGCGGCGGACGGGUGAGUAAUGCCUAGGAAUCUGCCUGGUAGUGGGGGAUAACGUCCGGAAACGGGCGCUAAUACCGCAUACGUCCUGAGGGAGAAAGUGGGGGAUCUUCGGACCUCACGCUAUCAGAUGAGCCUAGGUCGGACUAGCUAGUUGGUGGGGUAAAGGCCUACCAAGGCGACGAUCCGUAACUGGUCUGAGAGGAUGAUCAGUCACACUGGAACUGAGACACGGUCCAGACUCCUACGGGAGGCAGCAGUGGGGAAUAUUGGACAAUGGGCGAAAGCCUGAUCCAGCCAUGCCGCGUGUGUGAAGAAGGUCUUCGGAUUGUAAAGCACUUUAAGUUGGGAGGAAGGGCAGUAAGUUAAUACCUUGCUGUUUGGACGUUACCAACAGAAUAAGCACCGGCUAACUUCGU
RNAcentral lists this ribosomal RNA (483 nucleotides) under uncultured bacterium. RNAcentral describes it as "partial 16S ribosomal RNA". It matches the Rfam family "Bacterial small subunit ribosomal RNA", at positions 30 to 506 of the family's 1533-position model. The record is from RNAcentral.